This 1047-nucleotide long non-coding RNA is filed under the name Sorghum bicolor (sorghum). RNAcentral's name for it is "long non-coding RNA (SBIC_LNC004710)". The record is from RNAcentral. Lineage: Eukaryota; Viridiplantae; Streptophyta; Magnoliopsida; Poales; Poaceae.
CAACCUGCAAACACAUAGUUGUUUCUAAUAAUGGAUGUGUAAAGAAAUUUUCAUAGAGUACCCUGGGCAUAAUGUUGACGCUGGAGCCAAAGUCGCAGAGUGCUUCUGGGAAGUCCACCAUGCCGAUGGAGAUCGGGAUGACGGGGCAUCCUAGAUCGCCUCUCUUGACUGGCAGAAGGUCAGUAAUUACUUCCACAACAUGGUUACUCCAAUAGUUACAUCCUCAAGCAUCUCAGGGCAGUGAUUGCCUGAGUGUCCAGUAUCUCUAGUGUGUUUGUGCUUGUAGAUCUAGGUUCUUCACUUGGUGGAGUCUAGGAGUUGUAAAACUCCAUAUUUUGCUCGAAGUGUACCUGCUCAUAGAGACAAGGCAGAGAUCAAGUGCAUGGGCCCUGUUGGUGGAAAACACCAACAGAACCAAAAGUGUAUUUGUUCUCUCUAACCUUAAGCAUAGUCAGCAAGACAAAGUUGAUGGAUAAUAAGAUCAUGAGUGUAGCAUUUAAAACAUUUGUCAGAUCAAAUCGCUCAACCUAAUGGAAAGAUAAUCUAUCUAUACUUAUGUUUUUUUAUAUAUAUCUUCCAAAGAUUGAGUGUGCAACAUUUUAGCUCAUAAGAUUAGGAGUGUGGGAUCACAAUGGUGGAAGGUCUAACAUAUUGAAUCGACUGGGUUGGUUACUCUAGAGUUGUAAAUCGUACAUGUUUGUCUCUUUUAUUCAUGUGAACGCCAGAACCAAGGAGAAACUUAUAGAAGAGAUAGUCAAGUACCUUAAGAUGUUACCUUACUUGAAGAGUGAUGGUACAGUAUCACCUUGUGGAAGCUUUCCUUUCUUAGCGGUUGUGCAUCGUGUUUGUGGCACCCUCCAUGGAUCAUCUCUUGUGAGCUAUGCCUUCCUUGUGUAAAUUGUUAAACUUCAUGUGUCUCUCUCUUUGUCUCCAAUGUGAGUUUAUCUCAGGACUUCCCAGGUCGAUACUGAAAGUUUUCCUGCAAGGGUUAGUCCAACAAAAUAUCUCAUAUCUACUAUAGCAUACUAUCGGCUCAAAAAUCAACCU